Molecule: ribosomal RNA, 253 nt
Filed under: uncultured bacterium
Lineage: Bacteria
Description: partial 16S ribosomal RNA
Rfam family: Bacterial small subunit ribosomal RNA
Source: RNAcentral
UACGUAGGGUGCGAGCGUUAAUCGGAAUUACUGGGCGUAAAGCGUGCGCAGGCGGUAAGUUAAGUCUGAUGUGAAAGCCCCGGGCUCAACCUGGGAAUGGCAUUGGAAACUGGCUUGCUGGAGUGUGGCAGAGGGGGGUGGAAUUCCGCGUGUAGCAGUGAAAUGCGUAGAGAUGCGGAGGAACACCGAUGGCGAAGGCAGCCCCCUGGGCCGACACUGACGCUCAGGCACGAAAGCGUGGGGAGCAAACAGG